GGGUGUUGCCUCCAUUGUCAUAGCUCCAUAUGCAACCCUCCUGAAGCUGCGUACUCAGUGGAAAGUGGUGAACAUUGCAGAUAGGAGCACACUGUUCUUCAGUCAAGGGUANAAGAUGGUUGUACUCUCCUGCUAGAACCUCCAAACAAGGUCGAUGUUAGUUACCUAAAGUAAGGAGUCCAGGAUUAACUCUUCUGAAGUGCAGUUUUCUGUACCACU
Molecule: small RNA, 219 nt
Filed under: Salvator merianae (Argentine black and white tegu)
Lineage: Eukaryota; Metazoa; Chordata; Lepidosauria; Squamata; Teiidae
Description: 7SK RNA (ENSSMRG00000008349.1)
Rfam family: 7SK RNA
About the family: 7SK was discovered as an abundant small nuclear RNA in the mid-70s but a possible function has only recently been suggested. Two independent studies have found that 7SK RNA binds the CDK9/cyclin T complex (known as elongation factor P-TEFb).
Source: RNAcentral